Molecule: long non-coding RNA, 4869 nt
Organism: Orcinus orca (killer whale)
Lineage: Eukaryota; Metazoa; Chordata; Mammalia; Artiodactyla; Delphinidae
Exons: 3
Source: RefSeq, a predicted model, not a curated record
CCCCUUCCUGCGCCUAGCCUGUCACUCUUCUGUCCAGUUUCCUGGGCUUUUGCGGGGGUCUCCACAACUAUUUGUCUUUUUGCAUAGAGAGGAAGGGGGCAGGAGGAGGGGCGGGUGAGGGAGAGGAGAGGAAAGGAAAACACAGUUGUGCCUUCUGGAGAACACUAUUAGGACCCAGACAUCGUGGUUAUGGGUUUGUGAGGUAGUUGCUGUACUUCCUAUAAAUUCCAGUCUCAUUUCACAGCUUAAGCAAAUACGCAUUCGGUGGCUGUAGAAGAGUCAUAGAAUAGACAACCGUAUCCUACAUAAGUAUCAUUACAAUCAUGUAGAGGAAUAAAAGCAUUAACAUAUGGUGAUGUAUGAUAUAGCAGGUGCCCAAUCUGGGACCCCCAAACCUUGUGAAAUUUCAGGCUUUUUCCCCCUCCUUAUUCUAAUGGGUAUUUUAUUUUAUAAAAUCACAGUGAGUGACACAAAGGUCUAGUAAUUGCUGAAACUUAUAGAGUAUUUGCUAGAGGGCAGAGACAAUUCCAAGGAUGUACAACAAAAAGAAAUUGUUGACCUUGUUGGUUUGAAUCUCUGCAAUCAGGUACAGAGCCAAGAAUUAAAACCUUUAGAAACACUCGUAAAUUGGGAUCACAUGUGUUUGUGUAUAAAGCACUCCUAUGCAUUAUUGACACCUUUGUGUCUUAAAUGCAUACACAAAAGGUAUCUUAAAGGUAUGUAUUUAUAAUAUUUAAAAGCGUGUUUUAGAUAUUUAUGCUGCACAAAGCACUUUUAAUUUCGUAUGGCUUUCUGGGUUUGUGUGUAUUAUUUUUCACUUAGUUUUGGUGACUUCUUAAGUCUGUUUUCCAAUCUUCACCCCCACCCCGGCCCCACCACCUUUCUCUUUCCCAAUCUCUCUCUUUCCUUAAAACAAGGCAGCUAAGUUGCCCUUAGUUUCAGACUUGAAAGAUUUAGUAAGCAAAAAUGCUUUAUAACAUUUUCAGUGGGAGUUCUUAACAGAUGUAUUCUUCCUCUUGAGGCUUUCCCUGCUGUUUGAUCUUUCUCUCCAAAGCAAUUCGUUACAAUAUGAUGGGCAAAACCCCAGGCGGGAUAAUUAUGCCGAGUGGACCGGCAGCCAGAACACUGCAUCCAUCCUUCAGGACGAAAGCUGUCACCCUGCAAGGCUGCCCCAGCCAGUGUGGCUGUGGACUACUGAGGGGCCAGGGGAAGGGUAGGAGGGAUGGCUCUUUGGAUCAGGUGUUGAGUCAGAAACUUGUGAUUGGGCUGAGUUUCUUUAGAGACCCUGGAGUAAGCAUUGCCCAUGACCUUUAGGGAACAAAGCAUGGAGUGAGGCCAAAGGGGUAGACAUAUUAUAAAAUCAGGAUGUCAGCUCAAGCAGAAAUUUUGUUUUGUUUUUAGUUAUUUCAAGUUGCCAGUUGCUGGUCUUUCUAGAGUGAAGUAACCAAGUCAACAUAGAAAACUCAGCUCUUCCGGGAAUAAGCCCCAAAUUUGCUCUUUGUAAGGGGACAAACCGGUAUUUGUUCCUCUGGACAGUCAUGUAAAGGGAGUUCUUUUUUUUGGGGGGGGGUGGGUGGUUCCAGGUGAACAAAGGCAGAUAGAAAGUAUUCUCACCUCCCUGUGACAGAGGCUAUCAGAGAGGGUGGCAGGACUCUAUCUCCAGUCUCCAUGCCCCCCACGCCAACUCCCCACCAUGCAUCUGUCUAAGAGCUGAGACAUUGAGAAUUCAGGCCUUAUUCAGUCAAGUCCAUGGUUGGCCAUAGAAGGGGCUUCGGUCAACCAGGACGUCUGACAGUGCACAGAGGAUUUGCGGGGAGUGGAAUCGGGCUGGGGUCCCUUCAGGAACACUACUCUUCCUUCUGCUUUACCACAUCUGACUGUAGUCGUUUUCACUCUCUAACAAAUAGUGGCUUAAAACAAGGUGAAAGUAUUAUGUCAGUUCCAUGGGUUAGGAGUCCAGAUGGGUUAACUGGGUCCUCUGCUCAUGUUCUCACCUGGCUGAAAUCAAGGUGUCAGACAGGGCUGCAGUCUCACCUAAGGUCUUCUUUCAAGUUCACAGCCGAGGCCAAAUUCAGUCCUUACAGGGGUAGAAUUGAGGCCCUCAGUUCCUGGAGGACUUGAACUUUCCCUGCCAGGUGACCUUCUUCACAUCAUGACCAUUUGUGUCUUCAAAGCCAGCAGCAGUGUGUCUCUGAUGACUUUCUCUUUUUCUGACCUGUACACCCCUUUUAAGGCACUUACCUGAUUAGGAAAGGUCCAGAAUGAGCUCCCUUUUGAUGAACUUAAAGUCAUAUAAUUAGGGACCUUAGUUAUAUCUCCAAAAUCCCUUCACUCUUGCCAGAUAAUAUAAUUAACCACAGAAUGAUAUCCUAUCCUAUUCAGAGGUCCUGUGCACUCUUUUUUUUUUUUUGACAUCUUUAUUGGAGUAUAAUUGCUUUACAAUGGUGUGCUAGUUUCUGCUUUAUAACAAAGUGAAUCAGUUAUACAUAUAUCCCCAUAUCCCUUCCCUCUUACGUCGUCUCCCUCCCUCCCACUCCUCUAGGUGGUCACAAAGCACCGAGCUGAUCUCCCUGUGCUAUGCGGCCGCUUCCCACUAGCUAUCUGUUUUACAUUUGGUAGUGUAUAUAUGUCCAUGCCACUCUGUCACUUUGUCCCAGCUUACCCUUCUCCCUCCCUGUAUCCUCAAGUCCAUUCUCUAGUAGGUUACUCUUUUAACUAGAUAUUUCAUUGUACAAAUUUCCUGUCAUUGAUAAUCCCUAAUACAAUGGCCCUUGCUGUGAGUGUUUGCCAUUACUGAUUUUGUUUGUUCACCCCUACUUUUGAUGUUGUAGAACUGGACUAAAGGAGUAGAGAGGUAGUUAGGCAUAAAAGCAAAGAAGGCAUUUGUGUUUAUUUAAUUGUUGAGAAGAAAUAAAAGAUUAUUGUAGGACUCUUUUUUAUUCUUGCUUAUAGUUAAAUGUUAUCUACAGUUUAAAUGUCUUAAGUAGUUAUUCUAAAUGUAAAAUGUUUUCUUAAAAAGACUACAGUUUUGGUAUAAAAUUCUACAAAUUUAAUAUGGAAUUGUAGGAUACUCCAGAUUGAGUCUAGUGUACUGUAUGGUAGAUUUCUAGAUGGUCCCCUCUUUAGAUGCCUUGUUGUACUAAAAUUUGUCCACCUAAUUUCUUUUUCUAUAAUGUCAAGGUUUUUCUUGUACUUUUGGGAUCUUAUGCUAUUUGUAAAACGUUAAUGUCCUGUGUUGGAUUGUUUUGUUUGAUUUCAGACAUUUGCUGAGUAGAUAACAUGGGUGUGUUUCUGCAAGUAUUUAAACCAGGGAUUCAUGCAAAAGCAGAUGUAAUUUCCUCUUGGAAAAGGUACCCAACAUUUGAAAGUUAGAAUCGGAUGCUAAGGUUGAUGUUUGGGGUUAUUACAAUAUAGACUUGUUUUCACACCAGUUAAUAUUUUCUUAGGGUUUUAACUGUUAAGUGAGUAGUUUGCUGCUGUUGAAAUAACAUGGUAUUUGACAAGUAGAUUUAUUUUUCAAGAUGUCUCAGUGAUUUCCUCUUGUACAAUGUAUAUACUUCUGGAUGUAUAGAAAGGAAAGCUACAAUUGAGCCCUUAUAUAAAUGUUAUAAGGUGGGAAUAUGUUCACUAUUGUUUGAAAACUGAUUGUAAGAAUAACCUCAAUUAGGGAGUGUAACUUGAAGUGUCAGUACAGGCUACUGAUUUAACACAUGACCUUAUUCACCUCACCUCCCAUGUUGCCCCCCAGAAUAUAAUCUUUAUUCUCAUUGUGCUAAAAAAUGAAAAGUCUACUGUGGAAUGCAUCUGAUGUCAUUAGCUCUUCAAGUGGAUACCAUUUUACAUAUGACAGCAGAAUUCAGUUUUGAAUUGCUGAAGAAAUUUAAACCCUCCAUAAAAAAGGAAAAAAAACAACCUGCGUUUCAUGGGAAUAUAACAGAAAUAUACUGUAAGAUUAUUUUCAUCAUAAAGGUCUCAUCAGCUUUGCCCAAAAAGCAACUGCUUGACUUGUUUGGUGUUUAUUUUCUGUUUUCGUAUAAAUUUUAUAUAUACAGCUAGAGUACCCAAGGAGACCAGUAAAAACAGUUAAACAGAUAGGGUGUACCCAAGGAAAGAUGAAAGCUGAAGGUAUAUGAGACAAAGAAUUUAUAUCCUGUUUUAAAUGCAUCUAGCGUAUAUUUCUUGUCUCCAGACAAGUUCAUGUUUAUUGUUUUAUUUAUGCUCAAGUGAAGUUGUACAUUGUUGGUAGGCCAUUUUAUAAAUGGUUUGCCUAUGGUACAAGUUGAUUCACGCAGCCUCUGCUCUUCCAUUUAAGAUAGUGUUUGUAAGAGCUGGCCUGAAGCAGCACACUCAACAACUUGACAAGAUUUCUUUUUCCUUUUUGUAGGGGGAAGGGUCACCUGAGAAAAUAAAUUAUUUUCAGGGACUUUGGGAACCUAACGAUAAAUAUUACGUGUAACCUGUGAACAGAUUAAGCCUUUAUAUAUUCAUUAAAGUACUCUGGAAUUCCUCAACCUAACAUCACUCCUGGCCACACUUUCCUUGCCUGUUUUGUUGCUACGUGUGCUUGAAAGUAAUAUCUGCGUUCCUUUGAAGAUGUUCUAUAGGUCAUAUUUGUCAGUUACAGACUAGUCUUCCUUUUUCUCAAGUUCAGUGAAAUCUCACUGAACAGUAAUAAUAGCAAUAGCUAACAUCUGCACAGCACCUUACAGUUUGCAGAAAACGUUCACAUUUUCUCGUUUUUUUUGCAUAGUGAACCUGUUAUGAGAUUUCUCUUGACCUUGAUGCUAAAAGUGUUAGAAUCUUUGAAGUCGCUAGAGUCACUGAAUAUGCUGUAGUCUUGAAUAGCGCCCUGACAAGGGGCAGAUUUUA